UGGGCCAUUAGCGCAGCGGUAGCGCGCUUCCUUCACACGGAAGAGGUCACUGGUUCGAUCCCAGUAUGGCCCACCCA
Molecule: transfer RNA, 77 nt
Filed under: Mobiluncus mulieris
Lineage: Bacteria; Bacillati; Actinomycetota; Actinomycetes; Actinomycetales; Actinomycetaceae
Also listed under: 1 other name
Description: tRNA-Val(cac)
Rfam family: tRNA
About the family: Transfer RNA (tRNA) molecules are approximately 80 nucleotides in length. Their secondary structure includes four short double-helical elements and three loops (D, anti-codon, and T loops). Further hydrogen bonds mediate the characteristic L-shaped molecular structure. tRNAs have two regions of fundamental functional importance: the anti-codon, which is responsible for specific mRNA codon recognition, and the 3' end, to which the tRNAs corresponding amino acid is attached (by aminoacyl-tRNA synthetases). tRNAs cope with the degeneracy of the genetic code in two manners: having more than one tRNA (with a specific anti-codon) for a particular amino acid; and 'wobble' base-pairing, i.e. permitting non-standard base-pairing at the 3rd anti-codon position.
Source: RNAcentral